UCCCCAAGACUAUGUAAGCUGUAAGGACUGGGGUGGCAGAGCAGGGGCAAUUCUGGGGCGGGUCAAGCUGCAGAGAGCUCUGGAGUUCCGGUUGUGGCGAGCUGGUGGCUUUUGAUGAUACAGCUGCCUUUCAGCUGUCCACAUCCCUGUGAAUAACCCCAAGGAACUGACUCAACAAUUCGGACUUUAGCUUGGCAGAGGUUCCCUGUCUGGGGCAUCACACAUGUCCUAGGAGCCAUCAGAGUCAUGCCAUACAACUACAGAGUGACAAGAAUGAUACCAGAUGCCGUGUCGCCUUGAUGUCACGCACCCCAGGCUCAGACUGAGAAGGGCUUGUAGGACAACAAGCCGCCUGCAGCAGGGCCUGGGCCACGUGGACAGACAUGGCCACCUCUGCAGCUAUCUGGGCAGGUCACUUCUGCUCUCUCAAGGCUGGCAGGACAGUCAGCUAAACCCAAACGUCAGUACUGAGGGUGGAACCCAGGGCUCUAUGUAUGCCGGGCAAGCACUCUGUGGCUGACCUCACCCCCAGCUCCUAUUUGAAAUCCAUUUGGAAUAGGGUAGCCUGGCUUUGUUCUCCUGCCCUUAUUUGGAAGGGGUGGCUGCUGCCUUCCCAGUCCCUCUCCUUCUCAUCCGGCAGGGAUUCCCAUCUUGCCCUCCUCCAGACCACGCUGCUAGAAAGAUGGACCAACAGUCACUCCUCCACCCCAUCAUCUAAGAUGACCUUGCUUCUGUCUGUUGUCUGUCCCUUGCUCUGAGAGGCAGGCUCCAUCUGUCCCUCCCAUCUGACGCGGUCACUUCCACAAGCAGGGCACCUGUUGCUAUAUCCCCAGAGCCUAGCACAGGUCUGACACACAGUAGGCACUCAGCUAGUAUUAACUGAAAGAUGCCAAGACUGUCUCUAUAAGCGAGCUGCCUAGUGCAGGGGGGAAGAGGGAGGUAAGCAUGAGGGGGUGGGCUGUGCCCCUACUGUCUUACUGUCUGCCCCCCAGCCUCUCACACUGGCCACUGGUCCCCUCUUUUCUGAGAUGCAGAGUUGACAAAGGGUGGCUGGAACACAAGUCUGUCCUCACCCUACCCCACAAGCCCAGCCUCUGGUCCACACAUUCCCAUGGCAGCACGGUUACCAUGGCAACAGCAACCAGAGGUCACAGCACUGUAAACCAGAGGAUGCCUGCCCUCCUGGAACACCACCACUGAGGUAGAAUCUAAUUUUCAUCACAGCCAUAAUACUGGUUUUGCAUAAUGGUACAUAUAUUAAUACCUAACACGCCUGUGUUUAUUUGGUUAAAAUUCAUGAAUUCGGGUCUAAAUAAGAAGUGCUGAUGGUUGAAGUUUGUCACUCUCUUAAAACGUUCUUAGACUGUUGUUUUAAGCCAAACUCUCCUUGGAAGCUCCUGGCUUCUAAUCCCACUGCUAAUGGGUAGAGACGGAAACAGAGUUGGGACAAGAUGAAGGUGACACUCAGCCAGGCACUAGACCUGCCCAGGCCUCAGGUCUGCCCACCCCUGCCAGAGUGGGUGGAGUCACAUACCACUCACCUGUCAAUCAGUCUCCUUGCUGGGGUGGGAGGGGCUGAGGCAGGACCUACUGGCUGCUUUGCUGCGGCCCUAGCAGCUGCCGUUGCUCUCCCUCUUCCUCCCCCUGACCAAUAAACGUGUGGCAGGAAGACA
Molecule: long non-coding RNA, 1673 nt
Organism: Mesocricetus auratus (golden hamster)
Lineage: Eukaryota; Metazoa; Chordata; Mammalia; Rodentia; Cricetidae
Exons: 3
Source: RefSeq, a predicted model, not a curated record